UACAUGGGGUGCAAACGUUGCUCGGAAUUAUUGGGCGUAAAGCGCACGUAGGCGGUUCGUUAAGUCGGAUGUGAAAGCCCUCGGCUCAACCGAGGAAGUGCAUCCGAAACUGGCGAGCUAGAGUACGAAAGAGGAUCGCGGAAUUCCCGGUGUAGAGGUGAAAUUCGUAGAUAUCGGGAGGAACACCGGUGGCGAAGGCGGCGAUCUGGGUCGAUACUGACGCUGAGGUGCGAAAGCGUGGGGAGCAAACAGG
This 253-nucleotide ribosomal RNA is filed under the name uncultured bacterium. RNAcentral describes it as "partial 16S ribosomal RNA". It matches the Rfam family "Bacterial small subunit ribosomal RNA", at positions 524 to 776 of the family's 1533-position model. The record is from RNAcentral.